CUCUUGCAAUUUUAAUUUUUGAACAUAUUAGUCAGUGGCGCCGCCGCAAAUUUUUUUUCCGUAGACAGUCGGACUCCUCAUUGAUAGUCGGACGCAUCACUGAUCCGCGUCCAGGCCUCUGCGCGUUAUCGAUGGAUCUCUUCAUACCCUGCGUAACCCACUCGUGCACCAUAUAUCCAUCACUCCAUGUUGUUCGUCUACGACCACGUGUAGAAAGAUGAACGAUUUGCUUCGCGAUGCCAUAGACCCAUAGUGAAUCUACAAACUUGUUUUUCUG
This is a non-coding RNA of Paramuricea clavata, 277 nucleotides long. The record is from the annotation of a GenBank genome assembly. Lineage: Eukaryota; Metazoa; Cnidaria; Anthozoa; Malacalcyonacea; Plexauridae.